RNAcentral lists this ribosomal RNA (433 nucleotides) under uncultured bacterium. RNAcentral describes it as "partial 16S ribosomal RNA". It matches the Rfam family "Bacterial small subunit ribosomal RNA", at positions 29 to 507 of the family's 1533-position model. The record is from RNAcentral.
AACGAACGCUGGCGGCAUGCCUAAUACAUGCAAGUCGAACGAGAUCUUCGGAUCUAGUGGCGCACGGGUGCGUAACGCGUGGGAAUCUGCCCUUGGGUUCGGAAUAACUUCUGGAAACGGAAGCUAAUACCGGAUGAUGACGUAAGUCCAAAGAUUUAUCGCCCAAGGAUGAGCCCGCGUAGGAUUAGCUAGUUGGUGGGGUAAAGGCCCACCAAGGCGACGAUCCUUAGCUGGUCUGAGAGGAUGAUCAGCCACACUGGGACUGAGACACGGCCCAGACUCCUACGGGAGGCAACAGUAGGGAAUAUUGGACAAUGGGGGAAACCCUGAUCCAGCAAUGCCGCGUGAGUGAUGAAGGCCUUAGGGUUGUAAAGCUCUUUUACCCGGGAUGAUAAUGACAGUACCGGGAGAAUAAGCUCCGGCUAACUCCGUG